RNAcentral lists this unclassified non-coding RNA (395 nucleotides) under soil metagenome. RNAcentral's name for it is "partial contains 5.8S ribosomal RNA, internal transcribed spacer 2, and large subunit ribosomal RNA". The stretch from base 1 to 122 matches the Rfam family "5.8S ribosomal RNA", at positions 35 to 154 of the family's 154-position model. The record is from RNAcentral.
GAUGAAGAACGUAGCGAAAUGCGAUACUUGGUGUGAAUUGCAGAAUCCCGUGAACCAUCGAGUCUUUGAACGCAAGUUGCGCCCGAAGCCAUCAGGUUGAGGGCACGUCUGCCUGGGCGUCACAUAUCGUUGCCCAAUGCCUAUUGCAGUGCAAUAGGAAUUUCUAGGGCGAAUGAUGGCUUCCCGUGAGCGUUGUUGCCUCGCGGUUGGUUGAAAAUCGAGUCCUUGGUAGGGUGUGCCAUGGUAGAUGGUGGUCGAGUUAGAACGAUACCGAUCAUGUGCAUGCUCCCCAAAAUAUGGCCUCUAUGACCCACACGCGUCUUUUUACGCUCAUGACGAGACCUCAGGUCAGGCGGGGCUACCCGCUGAAUUUAAGCAUAUCAAUAAGCGGAGGA